RNAcentral lists this non-coding RNA (30 nucleotides) under Rattus norvegicus (Norway rat). The record is from RNAcentral. Lineage: Eukaryota; Metazoa; Chordata; Mammalia; Rodentia; Muridae.
UGUCAUCUGUUGAAAGAAUUCAGAGGAAGC